This 1372-nucleotide long non-coding RNA is filed under the name Triticum aestivum (bread wheat). Its description in RNAcentral is "long non-coding RNA (TAES_LNC002199)". The record is from RNAcentral. Lineage: Eukaryota; Viridiplantae; Streptophyta; Magnoliopsida; Poales; Poaceae.
GGAAUGUCAAAAGGACGUAGACAGAGUCUAUACAGAUAUCACGACACAACAAUAUAUAAAAUAGGAUGUAAUAGUGACUAUGCUUUAUUUCUAGUAAAACUAUCACAGAGAAAGAAAAUUGUUGGACAAACAAUCCUCUCUUUUUCAUAUGUGAUUGGACAAACAACCAUAGGUUUUCAUGUGUAACAAAAACACUAAUUACAACUCAAACGUUAGAAAUUCUAAUCAAGGCCCCCUUCCAUACACAAAGGAACAAAGCCACCAACAUUUCCAUGCACAAAGGAACAAUAAUGUUAGGCCCUACCUGAAUCCAGACAAGGAACAAAAAAGCAUAUAUUUACACCCCAUCAAAAAACAAGCAUGGAAACAAAGGAACUACAAAAAUAUAAAGCAUAGAGAAUAGUACAUUUGGCCUUUACCAGAAAAGGAAAGCCUCAUUGGCCAACCAGGGCAAGCAGAACAUGGUGAGACACAAAACACAAAUUGCCAUGCAACCAUACACCUAGCUCUGGAAAAGAAGAUGCAUGGAUAGGAGGAGAAGAGGGGUUGACAUGCAGAUCCGUGAAUGGAGACGCAGGAGGGUGCUGAUAGACGGUGUGCAGGCCCAACCCCGGCUUGCCGCUCAGCCGGCGGAGACGACAUUGAGCCCUUAAUGCAUCGAUGGCUUUGUGUUCACUGUAUGGAGCCGCAGAAAAAGGAGAUCAGAACUGUGUAUAUAUGGACAUCUAUGAGAGAGUGAACACUGGAUGCAGAGGAGAAAAUGGAACCAAAUGGUGAUCAUUACUAUUCAACUUGAAAGGAAGCGCAGUUUAUAUCCAUGAUUUCCCUCUUGUGAAGCAAGCAUCAAACAACACAGAAGCAAUGAAAUUGCACACUCAAAUAGAACAAUACAUGAAAUGCUCUUGUGUCGAGAACAAUUGCAAGUAUUUUGUGCACAUCACAUCAGAUUUGCAGGGGUAGCUCGAGAACGGGUGGGGCUCACCACGUGUGGGGGUAGCAGGAGGAAUAGGCAGAGCAGCCUUGAGGGCCCCGUCCACCUGCAGAAGCAGCUUGUCCUCAUCGGAGCAACCUUCACAUAAAACAAACGCAGGAAUCAGAAUAAGAGGAGAUGAAGAAACAAAGAAGAGAUUCAUGCCCACCCAGAAUAGUCAGAGAUCCACCCAGAACAAAGACCAUAAUAAACUAAGAGCCUAAUCAGGUUGUCAUGGUUAAGAACAUAUAUAGCAGAACAAUUAAUGAUUGAUGCUGCUAAAUCAACAACCCAAAGCUGAAGCUUUUUUUGAUACAUGGCUGCUGGAAACAUGCAAAUACAAUGAAUUAGAGCAUCUCCAGCCGUUGGAGCCCCCCAGGACAAUCGCCGGGCCAAAUAUAG